CCUACGGGUGGCAGCAGUGAGGAAUAUUGGUCAAUGGACGAGAGUCUGAACCAGCCAAGUAGCGUGAAGGAUGACUGCCCUAUGGGUUGUAAACUUCUUUUAUAAAGGAAUAAAACGAGGCACGUGUGCCUUUUUGUAUGUACCUUAUGAAUAAGGAUCGGCUAACUCCGUGCCAGCAGCCGCGGUAAUACGGAGGCUCCGAGCGUUAUCCGGAUUUAUUGGGUUUAAAGGGAGCGUAGAUGGGUUGUUAAGUCAGUUGUGAAAGUUUGCGGCUCAACCGUAAAAUUGCAAUUGAUACUGGCAGUCUUGAGUACAGUUGAGGUAAGCGGAAUUCGGGGUGUAGCGGUGAAAUGCUUAGAUAUCACGAAGAACCCCGAUUGCGAAGGCAGCUUACUGAACUGUGACUGACAUUGAGGCUCGAAAGUGUGGGUAUCAAACAGGAUUAGAUACCCUGGUAGUC
This 460-nucleotide ribosomal RNA is filed under the name uncultured bacterium. RNAcentral describes it as "partial 16S ribosomal RNA". It matches the Rfam family "Bacterial small subunit ribosomal RNA", at positions 338 to 795 of the family's 1533-position model. The record is from RNAcentral.